RNAcentral lists this ribosomal RNA (1445 nucleotides) under uncultured organism. RNAcentral describes it as "SSU rRNA". It matches the Rfam family "Bacterial small subunit ribosomal RNA". The record is from RNAcentral.
GAACGCUAGCUACAGGCUUAACACAUGCAAGUCGAGGGGCAGCAUGGUCUUAGCUUGCUAAGGCCGAUGGCGACCGGCGCACGGGUGAGUAACGCGUAUCCAACCUGCCUUACACUCUUGGACAGCCUUCUGAAAGGGAGAUUAAUACAAGAUGUUAUUAUGAGUAAGCAUUUUCGCAUGAUUAAAGGUUUACCGGUGUAAGAUGGGGAUGCGUUCCAUUAGAUAGUAGGCGGGGUAACGGCCCACCUAGUCUUCGAUGGAUAGGGGUUCUGAGAGGAAGGUCCCCCACAUUGGAACUGAGACACGGUCCAAACUCCUACGGGAGGCAGCAGUGAGGAAUAUUGGUCAAUGGACGAGAGUCUGAACCAGCCAAGUAGCGUGAAGGAUGAAGGUUCUAUGGAUUGUAAACUUCUUUUAUACGGGAAUAAACGAAUCCACGCGUGGAUUUUUGCAUGUACCGUAUGAAUAAGGAUCGGCUAACUCCGUGCCAGCAGCCGCGGUAAUACGGAGGAUCCGAGCGUUAUCCGGAUUUAUUGGGUUUAAAGGGAGCGUAGAUGGGUUGUUAAGUCAGUUGUGAAAGUUUGCGGCUCAACCGUAAAAUUGCAAUUGAUACUGGCAGUCUUGAGUACAGUUGAGGUAGGCGGAAUUCGUGGUGUAGCGGUGAAAUGCUUAGAUAUCACGAAGAACUCCGAUUGCGAAGGCAGCUUACUAACCUGUAACUGACAUUGAUGCUCGAAAGUGUGGGUAUCAAACAGGAUUAGAUACCCUGGUAGUCCACACGGUAAACGAUGAAUACUCGCUGUAGGCGAUAUACAGUCUGCGGCCAAGCGAAAGCAUUAAGUAUUCCACCUGGGGAGUACGCCGGCAACGGUGAAACUCAAAGGAAUUGACGGGGGCCCGCACAAGCGGAGGAACAUGUGGUUUAAUUCGAUGAUACGCGAGGAACCUUACCCGGGCUUAAAUUGCAACCGAAUAUGGCGGAAACGCUAUAGCUAGCAAUAGCGGUUGUGAAGGUGCUGCAUGGUUGUCGUCAGCUCGUGCCGUGAGGUGUCGGCUUAAGUGCCAUAACGAGCGCAACCCUUGCCGAUAGUUACUAACAGGUUAUGCUGAGGACUCUGUCGGGACUGCCAUCGUAAGAUGUGAGGAAGGUGGGGAUGACGUCAAAUCAGCACGGCCCUUACGUCCGGGGCUACACACGUGUUACAAUGGGGGGUACAGAGGGCUGCUACCACGCAAGUGGAUGCCAAUCCCAAAAACCUCUCUCAGUUCGGAUUGAAGUCUGCAACCCGACUUCAUGAAGCUGGAUUCGCUAGUAAUCGCGCAUCAGCCACGGCGCGGUGAAUACGUUCCCGGGCCUUGUACACACCGCCCGUCAAGCCAUGGGAGCCGGGGGUACCUGAAGUGCGUAACCGCAAGGAGCGCCCUAGGGUAAAACUGGUGACUGG